RNA transcript from Prionailurus viverrinus (fishing cat), 1642 nucleotides. RefSeq lists it as uncharacterized. The transcript has 2 exons. The record is from RefSeq and is a predicted model, not a curated record. NCBI's taxonomy places the organism in Eukaryota, Metazoa, Chordata, Mammalia, Carnivora, Felidae.
GAGACAGGAUGGGGACUGUCCCUGAGAGCCCCCCAGGGUCCUGCAGGCCACUGGCAGGGACAAUGGGCUGCAGCACCUGGCACCGCCCCCCCACCCCCCGGAGUAUGUGCUUUGCUUCCUGGAGUGGGGGCCCUUGUUUGUUUCCACACCAACCACAGAUGGAUCAGGCAGCCUCCUUGCACACCUGCAGGUUGGGGGACCCCACACUCAGGCUCACAUGCAAAGGCCAAGUGCCAGGCGGGGCCAGCGCACCCUUCAGGUCUGGGUGCAGGUGUUUCCUCCCAGGCUGAGUGUGGCCCCAUGCCUUCUCAGCACCCAGCGCCAGAUGCAGGGGCUGGCUAACUCACAUCCUGUCCCACAGCCGUGGCUCCAUGAACACCGGAGCUGCAUCUGUCCAGGGUCCGGGCAUGGCAGCCACUCGUCUUUCCCACUACCUCCCUUUGCUCAAUCAGGCCGCACCGGUAAGGGAGGGGUCAUGGAGGGCGGUGCUGGGCAGGGCACAGGCGAGCCGCAGUAGCCCUCGGAAGGAUCAGCACACUGGGCUGGUACGGCCCCGCCCCCGCCUGCAAAGCAGCAGAGAGACCAGUUUGCCAGUCGCCCAUGUUCCAGAUGUUCUUUCAAAGGCUCCCAGUCUGGGAAGGCCGUGGGACACAGGCUACCCUUCAAAGUCAGCCUGCCCCCCCUUCUUCUGGUGCUGCACAUGGGGGGUCUGGCUCCCUGGUUUCAGGAAGUUACACAACCCUGGCCAGUGCCCUGCGGCCCCAUCUACCACCCUGGCACAGCCCCUCCUUCUGGGACCCAGCCCCCACCUCCCUGGAAGCAGUUGAGAAGGCUCGUGUAUGGGACAGGACAUCGCUGGGUGCAGGACCCAACCCGACCAUGCAUGUGCCCCAGAAACAACGUUUUUUGCAGGGGAAGAACCAGGCUCAGGCCACACGCCCCGGACCUCGGCAAGGAGGGCAGUGCCUCAUGCAGGACAGGCCAAAGGCUCUGUCCCUGGUUGAGCACCCCAUCGUCACUGGUUCCGGUCUGUUCCAGCCAGCAGUUCCUGCGCAAGCCACAGAAGGGGUCCUGGUGCUGAACACAAAAGCGAACAUCUUGGGUUCUGCGCAGGGCAUCCCUGGCUCUCCCUCUGGUCUGUCUUGGCUGGUCACUGUGGCUGUACACCUGUCCCCAGACCAGGUCUGGUUGGGCUCUCCCCAUGCUGGACAAGUGAACUUCGUCCCAGAAGCCAGAAGCCCCACUUGCUGCCAUCCUAUGUGAGGAAAGACUCGACAGUGUGUUGAAUGGUGGCCCCAAGAACGAGAUGCCCACCUCCCAGAACUUGGGAGUGGGAUUCUUAUUUAGGAAGAGGGUCUUGGCAGAUAGGACUAAGGAUCUUGAGAUGAGAUCAGCCUGGGUUAUCCAGGGGCCCUAAGCCCAGGGCAAAGAUCCUUGUAAGAAAGAGAAAGCCACGUGAAGCAGCAGCAGGCUGGAGCAAUGUGGCCCCAGAGCACCUGGAGCCUCCGGACGCUGCAAGAAGCCAGGAUGGGUUUGUCCUGGAGGGAGGUCAGCCCUACAACACCUUGAUUUCAAGCCCGUGAUAAUGAUCUUGGACUUCUGAUCUCCAGAACUGUGGGGAAAGAAACUUCUAUUGUAUUAA